Erythranthe guttata (spotted monkey flower) is the source of this 2780-nucleotide non-coding RNA. Lineage: Eukaryota; Viridiplantae; Streptophyta; Magnoliopsida; Lamiales; Phrymaceae. The record is from RefSeq and is a predicted model, not a curated record.
GCAAUCAAGUUUAUGAAUUGGAUAUGAUUGAACCGAUGCUGUGCAAUUAAUUGGAAUUGCAGAGAGAGCCUCGUAGAUAAAUUGCUGAGUCGGCUUAUUCGUCAUCUUUAUCCGAUGAAUUUCUCUUCUCUUCGUUUCUUUAUAUACUCACUAACUCCUCACUCUCUCAUCAUCUCUCUCGCCUGCUCUCUCCUCUCUCUCUCUAUCGAUUCUUGAAUGGAAUCAUAGAAAUUGUUGGAAAAAUCAAGUUCUACGAGAGGAUUUUGAGUAAUUAAGUUUAGGUUGAAGGAUUGGGAGAUUAGAGAAGAAAGCGCCUAAUUGAUUCUUCAGAGAGAGGGGCUGCAAGAAGGUUUUAUCAAUGGAGUCUUGACGAUCCGAAAGUAUUGUUGGGAAACUUGAGAAGCAAGCUUCCCGAUGGUGAAGUAUUUCGCCGGCGGAGGUCACCGGUGGUCGGAAGACGGCAAGAAGUGCAGCCUGCCCCUGAACUUUAGGAGUCGAUUUGAGUUAUGUCGGCAAAAUUCAGAGAAAUGAAGAACUGCUGCCGCACCUGUUUUCGGAGCAGAAUUUGGAGAGUUUGGAGUGCGAAUUUGGGAAUCAUUCCUUGACGAAACUCGUGGAGGACCGCGAGAUAUAUUAGUAAGUGUCAAAUUGCUUCUAAUUUGAGCAAGGUUUAUAGACUUUUAGAGAUGAGAAUUAGACGGCUGUAAAUCUGUUAAAACAGGGCAGUUUUGAGUAUUCUUCUUACGGGGCCGUGUUUGCUAUGUUGAGCUAAUAAUUUGAGUUGUGUGUCUUCUGAGAACUUGUAGUUUACAUUGUAAGGUUCAAUUUGGUGUAUUAUUUGGACAAUUUGGAUAACUUAACAAAUUGUUAUGAUUUUUAAAACAAACUGUGCCAACAACAAUUUUCCAAAAAAAAAAAAAAAAAAAUAAACCUGGCAGUUUCAUGUACUCAUCUUCCGAGGCUGUUAUUACUGUGUUAGGUCGAUUAUUUGGGCUCAGGGUCUUCAGUAAACCUGUAGACACUGAUGUUAGCUUUAAUUCGAUAUAUCGUUUAGGUUAUUCGGAUAAGUAAGGUGAUCGUAACGAUUGUUCGAAUAAGCUGUGGCAGCAAGACAUUCGUAACAAUGUUUCAAGAAAUUGACUAUGUGAUAUAGUGGAAUAAUACGAUUAUAUUAGCAUUUGGAAUCUUGUUAAGUGAUGAAUAUGUUUAUAGGUGUCGAGCGUACUAAAGCUCUCAUUCAAGACUUGAGCAUGACUCGAGAGUAAGGUGUUCUUAUAGCACUUGCAUUGGACUUCAGGUGAGGAUCCCUACCCCUUGCCUAUUCUUUCUGAAAAACAGAAUAUAUGCCGAGCACUCGUAUCGUUCGGUUUAUUAUUCUUAUUACUCGUCUUUUAAAUUCAAUAUAUAUUUAUUGUCGCCUAUCCUGUGAACUAAUUUGAUUUCCGAGAAUUGUUGAUUCUUGAGCUAUUACAAUCUUUGAUCGUUUCGAAAUCCUUUUCCUGGAACUUAAUAAGUUCUCAUCGUGAUUCGCGAAUUAUUCGAGUAAUUUCUCAUCCCGAUUCCUUGAUUACUCAAUUGAGUUCUUUUAUCGACUUGAAUAAUUCAACGAGUUUCAAUUCGUUUCUCUAUCAAUUCGGAAUUGUUUCACAUCUUUACUUGUAUACUAGUUGGAACCACUUCUUCUAUAAUGAUUCACUAUGAUUUGUUUCUAAAGUGGUUCAUUGAACGUAAAUCGUUCUUUUCCCGACUCUUGGUCCAUUUAGGAUUAUUGUAUUUAUCCACUAAAUCAUUCGUUUAGUACCCUUCUUGACUUGUGAUUUUGUGACCACAAGAUAUUAUCACUUGUUAUUGGAAUUCAUUAUGGGGAUUCAAAAUGUAAAUUGAGAUAGUCGGAAGCAUAUCCGUAUCUCUAUAUUAUUGAUUCCUUUGGGGACGCCCUAAGGAUAAUUGACCAGUUGGGCCCGGGGCUGUUCGAAAAAGACUGCUGGGCGGUAUUGGGCCGACGGUGGAUGGUCUCUUCGACGGUACCCAUAUUGGAUUCAGACCAUUGGCAUAGUUGGAGGUUAACUGUGCUGAUGGCUGAAUCGGCAUGCGCCCGGGCAUGCCUAUUGAUCGAUUAGCAGGGUAGCUCCCUGAUCGGUGUUAUAAGGUAGUUACGGCUAAGGGAGUCACAAGGCAGGUACAGGUACAUGAACAAAUUGUUACCAUGGGAAUCUCCAUGGUCUCAUAUUUGAUAUCCGAAAUUGUUAUCGUGGGAAUCUCCACGAAAUUCAUAAUUGAUAUCCGGGAAUUACCCGUUGAAUAUUGUUCUUUACCUGUACAUAUUGAUUAUAUUGUCGAUUCUGAUCAUAUUGAUGUGCCUUAUACUUUGGCCUCUUAUUCCUUAUCGGACAAUCAUUCUCUAGAUGGUCCAAUUUCAACUCCAAUUCCAUCCCCAAUUCCUUGAACACUUAUAUUGUGAUUAUUAUUUGAUUCGACUGUUUUUCCCUUGUACUCCUCACUAAGUCCACUUGGACUUACUCCUCCUUUAUUUUUCUUCUUAUUCUCAGUAACAGGUGCAUUAGUGGACGAUAUUGUUGAUGACUCUUAGGAGUAGAAGUUAUUCAAAGAUCUUAGAGAGUUUAAUCUAGUGUUGUGUUUAAGAAUGAUUGUAAUUCGAGAACUAUGAAUACGAGAUUAGUUGUGGCAUUUGGUUGUCACGUGUAUUUGAUAUUAUUGUUGAGAAAUUAAGUAGGAGACAUUGUAUUUAUCGGAAGUCAUUGUAUUUAUUUAUUGUAAUG